UCUGCACCCUAGGGUUGUUCAGUAUGGCAUUCAACUUCUGUUGAUGAGUCCCUCACAAAGCCUAUUCAGUAUGAUGUAUUAACUAAGGAGAACUAAGGAGACAGCUCAUUUGCUACUCUCCUCAUCUCAUCUCAAGGUCUUUCUCCAGUAUGAACUCUGGUGAUAGAUGAGGUUAUUAGACCUUUGGCCGAAAGCUUUCUUACAUGUGCUGCACUCAUGGUCUUUUUCUGUGGUGUGACCUGUUUGGUGUUCAGUAAGCUGGGUGUUUUGGCUGAAGAAUUCUCCAUAUUUAGUGCAUGCAUGUGUUUUUUUCCUCCAGUGUGACUGUAUUCUUAAGGCCUCUCUCCUGUGUGGACUCUCUCAUGCUCUGCAAGCCUAUACAUCCACAGGUAGGCUUUCCCACACUCAUGGCACUUAUAGAGACUUUGACCAUUGUGAAACACUGCUGUGCAGUCAGCAUCCUUUUGUGGAGUGACCUGGUGCUGGAGAAGGCCAGAGGUACCAGGGAAAUCCUUCCCAGCCUCCUGGCACGUGAAGGAGUUCUUGGAUGUGUGGACUAUGUGGCUCCUCAUAAAGGCCUUGCCCUAUCUCUUCUAAAGAGAUUCCCUCCACUAUGCUGGUGAAAUUUCACACCUGACACACACAGUUUCUGGCCAGGAGUUGUUCCCAGGUCUUCAUCUAGAGGCAAACUUACUGUUUAAGGCCAGGCUACACAUCUUGCAGGGACAGGACUUUGGAUGGACAGGUCUCUGAAGUAUAUUCAUGGCACUUCUACAGAAACAUUCUGCUCAGAAGUUAUCUCCUUGUGCUCUGCUCCAUACCAACAAACUGAAAGCAGAAAAAUGACACAGUGUUGGGGGAGUGCACACAGAAAUGAGGUACAUAGUCACUGGCUUUGGCACCAAAACACUGUGGGGCACAGGACAUGAUCCUGAUAUAAUUUGAACCCCUGAUGCCAAAUCAAUGGAGCCAAGCCCACUUUGAACCCCUCAUGCUGGGGCUUGGAGUCAUGUCCACUCUGUCAUGUCCCAGGGUUCACCUCCCAGCUCCAGUUGGACAACAACAUGGAAUCUAGAAAAGCAAGUCCUAAGGGAAAGACAGGACAGGUGAACAGUCAGUACUAGCCCAGGAGAACAACCAAUCCCCCAAAAAACCUGAGGAAAGAAAAACAGUGUCACAAAAUGAACCAGUGACCCUGCUGGAUCCCCAACAAUUCCUGGUACAGUCAGGGCCCAGGAAAUAGCUGGAAGGGGGCAGAACCUAGAGCACAGAGGUGUGUGGGUCUACAGACUCAACUUAGCAGGGAGUGGCUGAGACUAAUGGAACCCACUGAACUAAUUCCAAGUCUUAUGACCCAGAAAAACUUCACUGAAAAAACUUCAGAGCUGCUGGUACUGGGGAUACUUCUGAAAGGAGGUCGUACUCAUUCAGCCUUGGCACCAACAACACAGAUGAGAGGGAAGCAGUAAUAGAGAUGUGCCCACUGUCUAGGAGUCUGUGGAAAAAACAGACUUGCCUUUGGAAAAGGGAAAGGCAGAGACCUGCCCAGGAUGCUGGGAUAGGUGGGAAGGCCUUACCCAAUGAUGCAACAAGUGCAAAGGGCUCCAGGAUCACAUCACGGUACAGGAAUCUCUGGGCCUCAUCAAGAAGCUUUCUUCCUCCUGGGAAAAGUACACAGCCACGUCCUCAAAGGUCACAGGGCCCUAUGAUGAUGGGACAGAUUUGUACAUAAGCAGCCUCUCUCCCCAGGACCCCAUAAGUACUUUUAACCCCAGCCUGUACUCACUCUGGGUUCACCACCCACCCCAGCUCUGUGACUUAGAGGGCAGUGGGGCCCAAUAACUCUUCAUGCUUCCUUGAUCAGUAUGUACAACCCUGAGCAACAACAGGCAGGUGGACAGAUAGAUACCAUGUAAUCUGUGAGCCUGGUAUGCAGGGCCCUUUCCCUUUCCUCCAAGACAACAGCCUGAGUGUACCCACAUGUCUCCCAAACACAAGCAAACUUAGCCCCAUCUCUCUCUUAUACUUCUAGUACUAGGGCCUGGGGCAAUUACUUCACACACUUUCCUCACAUGCAUAUUACUGAACCUCCUCAUACAUUACAUGUCUACCAUCAUUCUCAACAGAAACCUAGUGCUACCAUUCUAACUCUGCCUCCCUUGCUCUCUGUCCUUAUCAGUUGUUAACAGACCUACAAGUCCUAGAACACUCCCAUCACAAUCACAUCCUCAAGCAUUUGUAUAUACUAGCCCCAUUACUAAGACAAUCUUUCAUGUCUCAGUCCGCGCUGGCUGCCAAAAAUUGGAAUCUGUCCAUAAAACCUAGGGUCUACAGACACCAAGUCCAUAAAGACACCUGACACCAGUGCAGGGGCCAUAAAUGGUUCUGCUGAGUGAACCAUUUAAUAUUUCAGGCAAAGACAAAUACUCAAGAGAAAAAUAAAGCAUGUAAAAGAGGGCAGAAAAUGUUAUAGAGUUGUGCCAUAAGGUCACGUGGAUACCUUGAGAAAAGGCUGUCCAGAAGUGGGACAAAAAAGUGCAAAGCCUCUCUAUCAAGAGUCAUGUCUGGUGUGUAUGAGCAGCAUCCACGAGGCUAGUGUGACUGGAGCCCAGUGAGCCAGAAGAAUAAAGGAUUGUGUUGGGGAGGAAAUGGUUCUUUUCAAAUUUUACUUUGGUUAUAUUAAAAAUUAUUACUUUAUAAAAAUCUCCACCUUACAUAAUCCAUAGAUUAAAUUCUGAUUUGGAAUUAUGCUAACAUUACAUAAUAGGAUUCAAGAAUGCAUACUUUUUAUACUUAUCCACCAUAUUCUUUGAUAUAUCCACUUUUUCCCCCCAUAGCUGUUCAGAGAGACUAUCUGUAAUUUUCUACUAGAUUUCUUCUCCAGGGGUAGAGAUCAUGAAGCACAAUUUACUGAAUUCACACUGAAAAUGACUCUCUGGAAAAGGGGUUCUUGCCAGAAUCAAAGUGCUGGGCCUCCAGCAGUUGGGGAUAACUGGGCAUCAUUGCUGACUCUUUAAACUUAAGAGAACUGCAACAAGCUAUAGGACUUGACCUCUAGUCCAUCUGCAUUGUAGAAACACAGAAAUACCUUAUUGAGUUCUUAACAUCUUGCUAGGGAUUCACAAAGCAUUAUAACAUUUUACACUUACAAAAUGAUUCAUUUUAUCACCCUUAAAACAAGUAUUUUAACAAGAUAGCUUAAUCAUUUAUGAUUUUCCACUAAAAUAAGUAUUAUUCAGGACUUCCCUGGUGGUCCAGUGGUUAAAAAUCUGCCUUCCAAUGCAGGGGAUGCAGGUUUGAUCCCACAUACUGUGGUGGGGCAACUGAGCCCGUGUGCUUCAAUGAAAGAUCCUGUGUGCUGCAACUAAGACCUGACACAGCCAAAAAUAAAUAAAACAAUACAUAAGCAUUAUUUGAAGAGUACAAUCACAUUGUACCUGAAGAAGAAUUCAGAGUAUGAUAAGAUGAUUCAAAAUCUCAGAAAAAAAAUGGAAACAGAUGGAGAAGAUACAAGAAAUGUUUAAAAGAAAGGUAGAUUUGAUGAACAAUACAAUAACUGAAAUUAAAAAUACACACUGGAGGGAUUCAAUAGCAGAUAACUAAGGUAGAAGAAAGACUAAGUGAGCUGGAUGACAGAGUGGUGGAAAUAACAUUUAAUAAACCAACAUUUGCAUUAUAAGGGUCGAAGAAGAGAAAGGGAAAGGGCCUGAGAAAAUAUUUGAGGAGAUUACAGCUGAAAACAUCCCUAACAUGGGAAAGGAAACACCUGAGUCCAAGAAGUGCAGAGUCCCAUACAGGAUAAACACAAGGAGAAACACACCAAAACACAUAUUAAUCAAACUGAUAC
Molecule: long non-coding RNA, 3847 nt
Filed under: Phocoena sinus (vaquita)
Lineage: Eukaryota; Metazoa; Chordata; Mammalia; Artiodactyla; Phocoenidae
Description: lncRNA (ENSPSNG00000014802.1)
Source: RNAcentral